AGCGGCGGACGGGUGAGUAACGCGUGGGUAACCGUGCCUCAUACAGGGGGAUAACAGUUGGAAACGGCUGCUAAUACCGCAUAAGCGCACAGUACCGCAUGGUACGGUGUGAAAAACUCCGGUGGUAUGAGAUGGACCCGCGUCUGAUUAGGUAGUUGGUGGGGUAACGGCCUACCAAGCCGACGAUCAAUAGCCGACCUGAGAGGGUGACCGGCCACAUUGGGACUGAGACACGGCCCAG
RNAcentral lists this ribosomal RNA (241 nucleotides) under uncultured bacterium. RNAcentral describes it as "partial 16S ribosomal RNA". It matches the Rfam family "Bacterial small subunit ribosomal RNA", at positions 94 to 334 of the family's 1533-position model. The record is from RNAcentral.